GAUGAACGCUGGCGGCGUGCCUAAUACAUGCAAGUCGAGCGAACAGACGAGGAGCUUGCUCCUCUGACGUUAGCGGCGGACGGGUGAGUAACACGUGGAUAACCUACCUAUAAGACUGGGAUAACUUCGGGAAACCGGAGCUAAUACCGGAUAAUAUAUUGAACCGCAUGGUUCAAUAGUGAAAGACGGUUUUGCUGUCACUUAUAGAUGGAUCCGCGCCGCAUUAGCUAGUUGGUAAGGUAACGGCUUACCAAGGCAACGAUGCGUAGCCGACCUGAGAGAGUGAUCGGCCACACUGGAACGGAGACACGGUCCAGACUCCUACGGGAGGCAGCAGUAGGGAAUCUUCCGCAAUGGGCGAAGGCCUGACGGAGCAACGCCGCGUGAGUGAUGAAGUUCUUCGGAUCGUAAAACUCUGUUAUUAGGGAAGAACAAAUGUGUAAGUAACUAUGCACGUCUUGACGGUACCUAAUCAGAAAGCCACGGCUAACUACGUG
RNAcentral lists this ribosomal RNA (497 nucleotides) under uncultured bacterium. RNAcentral's name for it is "partial 16S ribosomal RNA". It matches the Rfam family "Bacterial small subunit ribosomal RNA", at positions 28 to 507 of the family's 1533-position model. The record is from RNAcentral.